RNAcentral lists this ribosomal RNA (253 nucleotides) under uncultured bacterium. Its description in RNAcentral is "partial 16S ribosomal RNA". It matches the Rfam family "Bacterial small subunit ribosomal RNA", at positions 524 to 776 of the family's 1533-position model. The record is from RNAcentral.
UACAGAGGGUGCGAGCGUUAAUCGGAAUUACUGGGCGUAAAGCGCACGUAGGUGGCGACGUAAGUCGGGUGUGAAAGCCCCGGGCUCAACCUGGGAAUUGCAUUCGAGACUGCAUUGCUGGAGUACGGAAGAGGAAGGCGGAAUUCCCGGUGUAGCGGUGAAAUGCGUAGAUAUCUGGAGGAACACCGGUGGCGAAGGCGGCAUCCUGGACCAAUAUUGACGCUGAGGAGCGAAAGCUAGGGGAGCAAACGGG